GACGAACGCUGGCGGCGUGCCUAAUACAUGCAAGUCGAACGAUCCUUUCCUCCCCAUUCCUUGCUCUCGAUUGCGACGGACGGUUGCGGACCGGUUGGUUACCCGUGGUUAACCUAUCGGUCAACUUGGGGAAACACGUGCUAACAGGUGCUAAUAUCGCGUAACAGUUUAUUCCGCAGGGCAUGAGGGUUUUGGGCUCUCUCGGGUGUCGCUGCUGGAUGCACCCGCUGGGCAUUAGCUAGUUGGUGAGGUAACGGCUCACCAAGGCCACGAUGCAUAGCCGACCUGAGAGGGUGAUCGGCCACACUGGGACUGAGACACGGCCCAGACUCCUACGGGAGGCAGCAGUAGGGAAUCUUCGGCAAUGGACGAAAGUCUGACGGAGCAACGCCGCGUGAGUGAAGAAGGUCUUCGGAUCGUAAAACUCUGUUGUUAGGGAAGAACAAGUAUGUUAGUAACUGAACGCGUCCUGACGGUAUCUAAUCAGAAAGCCACGGCUAACUACGUG
RNAcentral lists this ribosomal RNA (508 nucleotides) under uncultured bacterium. RNAcentral describes it as "partial 16S ribosomal RNA". It matches the Rfam family "Bacterial small subunit ribosomal RNA", at positions 28 to 507 of the family's 1533-position model. The record is from RNAcentral.